UGUGUCAAAUAAGUCUAAUAAAAAAUAUCCAUCUAAACUGUUGACAUAAAAUAAACACGCGCACCAACAUGACCAAUUUUCAAGAGCAAUAUGACAUAUUCAUUCAUUCUUCUUUUACUGUAGAUUAACAAAUCAUGACAUAACAAACUUUGAUUAACAAUUCAAUUUAUCAUACUAAGGGGCAAUUUAAGAAGUUAGCUUUUAGCUUUUAAUUUAUUUUUGGUCAUAUCACUUCUCAAAAAUGGUCCGUAGCUCAAAAAUUGAAGGGCUCGAACGGCUCGAAAUUAGAAAUUUCUCUCUCCUCUCGAUAUCUUCCCUCUCCGCCUUUGCAGUCAACUCCAUUUUGUAGCUCGAAAGAAAUCAAAAAGAAAUCAGCACCUCUCUCUCACUGUCGUCUCAUCCCUCUCUCCUCUCUAUCUCUUCACUCUGGCCUUGAAGGAGUACGAAGGAAGACGAGACGGGGGACAUGAAGGACGAGGAGACAGUGGACAAACAACGAGGGAGGACGAGGACGAACGACGACGGAGGAUGGAGGACGAACAACAACGGAGGACGAACGGGAGCCUACGACAGCGAAUCUGAGACUUGCCAAACUUGACCUAAUAAUAGGAACAUACGAUUAAAGCCAAGAUUAUGUAAUUGUGGAAGAACAGCGGCGGUACAUAUUGUACAAACUAAUGAGAAUGGAAAUGAAGGACAUGUCUUUUUUGUUUGCCCAACAAAAUAUAGUGCGAACGAAAACUACAAUUACUUCAGUUGGGCAGAUGAUGACGACGACAACGUUACCUCCACAAUUCGUGCCAAUGGUGGACCUCAGACAGAUUCAAGAACAAAAGAAAUUAAUGAUAUAAGGAGAAGGAAUGACCUGAUGGACAAUGCAAUUCAUGAGCAUAAGAGAAGGCUUCAAAGGAUGGAGAAGAUUUUGAAGGCAAUGACUUAUGUCAUUAUAUUUUGUGCAUUUUUGUACUUUAUCAUGUAAAUCACUCAAUUGUUUGGUUUUCAAACAUGCUAUAAAUGUAAUCUACUUUUCUAUUUGUUUUGUAUUUUUUUGUUGGCGCUUUAAAAUUUGUUGGUUGGUUGCUUAAU
RNA transcript from Camellia sinensis, 1086 nucleotides. RefSeq lists it as uncharacterized. The record is from RefSeq and is a predicted model, not a curated record. NCBI's taxonomy places the organism in Eukaryota, Viridiplantae, Streptophyta, Magnoliopsida, Ericales, Theaceae.